This 300-nucleotide ribosomal RNA is filed under the name Klebsiella pneumoniae. Its description in RNAcentral is "partial 23S ribosomal RNA". It matches the Rfam family "Bacterial large subunit ribosomal RNA", at positions 2631 to 2925 of the family's 2925-position model. RNAcentral also lists the same sequence under 1 other name. Lineage: Bacteria; Pseudomonadati; Pseudomonadota; Gammaproteobacteria; Enterobacterales; Enterobacteriaceae. The record is from RNAcentral.
UCGGUCCCUAUCUGCCGUGGGCGCUGGAGAAUUGAGGGGGGCUGCUCCUAGUACGAGAGGACCGGAGUGGACGCAUCACUGGUGUUCGGGUUGUCAUGCCAAUGGCACUGCCCGGUAGCUAAAUGCGGAAGAGAUAAGUGCUGAAAGCAUCUAAGCACGAAACUUGCCCCGAGAUGAGUUCUCCCUGAGACUAUAAGUCUCCUGAAGGAACGUUGAAGACGACGACGUUGAUAGGCCGGGUGUGUAAGCGCAGCGAUGCGUUGAGCUAACCGGUACUAAUGAACCGUGAGGCUUAACCUU